AUCCGAGCUCCUAGUCUCAAAAAUAAUGACGCCCCUUUUAAGUUUAUUGAAUAUCUAAUAUUCGUAUUCAUUACUGUUAUACACUUACUAGUUACAAAAUUCAAGCUUAUUUAUAGUUGUUAAAAUAAAUCAUACAUAAUACUGAUAGCGAUGUAAAACUUUAGUCAGAGAUUAAAAGAGUAUAAAUUUGUAAAAUAAAAACUCACAUAGUGACAUAUCAAGUUAAACGUUAAU
RNAcentral lists this small RNA (234 nucleotides) under Staphylococcus aureus. Its description in RNAcentral is "HMPRFS0000_2061". Lineage: Bacteria; Bacillati; Bacillota; Bacilli; Caryophanales; Staphylococcaceae. The record is from RNAcentral.